Molecule: long non-coding RNA, 1143 nt
Filed under: Malus domestica (apple)
Lineage: Eukaryota; Viridiplantae; Streptophyta; Magnoliopsida; Rosales; Rosaceae
Description: long non-coding RNA (MDOM_LNC016200)
Source: RNAcentral
CUUUCUAUCUCCUCCAUACCUCUCCUAACCCUCCUCUUCCUCCUCCUUAUCCUGCACCCCAACCCACCAUGUCCUCACCCAUCGAACCCAAAUCCCGCAAGUUCCCACCGCCCUCAACGCCAAAUUGGACCCAGGCACCAAUUCCCGAUCCAGUUGGAGUUUUUGCUCCAGACCUUGGACCAGCGGACUUUCCACCGCCAUGAAAACACGAAAGUUGCAGGUGCGGCUUGACUGGGUUUUGUUUUGGCGUCGUGACAGGGAUCUCCGGUAGCCGAUCUUUGAUACGAGGUGCAUGCAGCGGCCUUGAAUCUUCGGCAGCCAUGACCUCGAAGGGGUGGUAGUCGGCGUUUGUUACAGUUGGGGUAAUAGUCGGCGCCGCAUCCUCUCUCCCUCCGCCAGUGCCCUCCCCAACUCCGUCGCUGCAAUCUGCUGCCGAUUCGCCUUCUCACGUAUCUCCAUCGGCGAUUCCCCCCACCCCAUGUCUCCCAAAACAAACCCCAGCCGCAGCCUCCAUCCAUGUCUCCACAAUUUCUGAGCACGGAUCUGAAACUUUUGGUGGAUAUGGCUGACUUGAAUGCUCUGAUUUGUGAUUGUCUAUAAUUAUUAGUGAUUUUUUUUGUUUUUUUUUGUGUGUGUUAGGAAAUCCUUGAUCAGUUGGCCAUGCUGCAGAAAACAAAGAAGGAACCCUUUGUUGGGCUUGAAGACGGUGGAGAUCAAGGACCUGUAUUGUCUGCCCUCCCAUUUCGGUGCCCUCCUCGUGCCCUCCUAUUUUCUGUGGUCACGGUUAAGCCACGUCAAUAUUUUAUAUUAUUUUUUAAUAAAAAUAAUAAAACAAAAAAAAUAUAUAUAAAAUGUUGACGUGGCUUAACCGUGACCACACAAACAGGAGGGCACCGAAAUGGGAGGGCAGACAAUCCAAGUCUGGAGAUCAAAGGGAGAGAGAAUUUUUUUUUUAAUUUUUAAUUUCCACGUGGACCUUAAUGAUAUGUGAUGCUCAAUCAUUGUUUAUAUAGGUACCACGUUAUCAGUUAACAGGAGAUUUAACAGCUAUAUUAACAAAUGUAUGAGACUGUCCUAAUAUUAACUAUGACUCUGGAUGAAAAAAAAUUUAUGUAUCAAAUGUUGAAAAUCAUAAAACUUGAG